Molecule: ribosomal RNA, 595 nt
Filed under: uncultured Bacteroidota bacterium
Lineage: Bacteria; Pseudomonadati; Bacteroidota
Description: bacterial SSU rRNA
Rfam family: Bacterial small subunit ribosomal RNA
Source: RNAcentral
CAACCUGCCUAUAACUAGGGAAUAACCUUGCGAAAGUAAGACUAAUACCCUAUGAUUUCCUUUGAUGACAUCAGAUUAGGAAUAAAGAUUUAUCGGUUAUAGAUGGGGAUGCGUCUGAUUAGCUUGUUGGCGGGGUAACGGCCCACCAAGGCAACGAUCAGUAGGGGUUCUGAGAGGAAGGUCCCCCACAUUGGAACUGAGACACGGUCCAAACUCCUACGGGAGGCAGCAGUGAGGAAUAUUGGUCAAUGGGCGAAAGCCUGAACCAGCCAAGUAGCGUGCAGGAUGACGGCCCUAUGGGUUGUAAACUGCUUUUAUACAGGAAUAAAGUUAGCCACGUGUGGUUAUUUGUAGGUACGGUAUGAAUAAGGACCGGCUAAUUCCGUGCCAGCAGCCGCGGUAAUACGGAAGGUCCAGGCGUUAUCCGGAUUUAUUGGGUUUAAAGGGAGCGUAGGCCGUCUGUUAAGCGUGUUGUGAAAUGUAGAUGCUCAACAUCUGAAUUGCAGCGUGAACUGGCAGACUUGAGUGUGCGCAACGUAGGCGGAAUUCGUGGUGUAGCGGUGAAAUGCUUAGAUAUCACGAAGAACUCCGAUUG